This is a long non-coding RNA of Xiphophorus couchianus (Monterrey platyfish), 1232 nucleotides long. RefSeq lists it as uncharacterized. The record is from RefSeq and is a predicted model, not a curated record. The transcript is spliced from 4 exons. Lineage: Eukaryota; Metazoa; Chordata; Actinopteri; Cyprinodontiformes; Poeciliidae.
CAAACACACGGACCAGGCUGCCAGAUUCUUGAAAAAGAAAGAAAAAUGAGGGACAAGGAAGCUUUUUUUGUCGUUGUUGGGUUUUUUUUACAACAGAAUUACAGAAACAUUUGACGUCAUAUAAAAUAAAGGAGUUACGUCUUCUUCCUCCCUGAUUGGCCUUUCAACUUUUAUUGGUACCGGUUUUGCUUCACUGUGGAUUUUGUAAGUCUCUUACCAGCUUCAGCCAACAUUUUUACAAGAUGCAUGCUGGAGGAAGUGACAGAGCAUCCAGUGAAGGAAGGAGAAAAGUGCACCCUUAUUGUCCCAUUGUCAGUGUGGGAACAUAUCAUCCAGUUUCUUAUCUGGCAGAGCAGAGUCCGUUUCCUGCGACUGUCAAAGAAUGGGCAGCGAAGGGAGGAGAAAUCCUGUUUGUAAAUCACCCUACCGGGACGCUGCUGCCAGGGGACUCUGUUUACUUUGUUUUACUACCACUGUCUUAUCCUGUUGACAGGGCAGGGCAGCGGUGUGUAUCACUGAUGUAACAGUGCAGUCGGGAAAAAGAAGCACAUAAACACAUAUCAGGCCUCCAUCCUGUUCAGCCAGGUGCCAGUGUUCAAGAAGGCACAAAAGGAGAUUCACUUCACCUCCCAUGUCUGACGCCUCACCCCUUCGCUAUCAGCGUAAGAGGAAGCAGAAGGUCAGCGUGUUCGAGGUGACGGGAAGCAAGUCGGGGCUUAACACCGGUGGUCUCAGUCGAACAGGUCAUGCUGAACCUUUGAGAAAGAGAACGUUUACAAAUUACAUAAAUCUGUGAUGUGAAGAUGUUUAAUAUGCCCACACCUACAGCGUAUGCAAAUGAACGCCACGGCUCACGGCACAGCCGCUUGUGAUGCUCGUGGGUGAAAUACAUAAUAGAGCUCGUGCUGACUGCAUGUUUUAGGAAAACAUAGUUAGAGUUUCUACAAAUGAUGACUCGAAUUCAUUUACACAUCUUUUUUUCCCUUUUCAGUAAGGUUGGUUUUGUUGAUUUUAGCAUUUAUCACAUUGUCAUUGUUGACUGUUUACAGCAGCCAAAGUGAAGCAUUUCAUUCUUCAAGAGCUGCUUCUUCUGCUUUUAACACAUUAAAAUAAAAUGAAGAAGAACUUAAAACAUAUCAAUUACAGUAUAAACAAACAAUGGAUAUACUGGUACUGUAUAGGUUUUGAAAUGUUCAGUUAGGGGCCAAUAAAUGUAUAAGUGAAAUGUGAUA